GUGGGGAAUAUUGGACAAUGGGCGCAAGCCUGAUCCAGCCAUGCCGCGUGAGUGAUGAAGGCCCUAGGGUUGUAAAGCUCUUUCACCGAUGAAGAUAAUGACUGUAGUCGGAGAAGAAGCCCCGGCUAACUUCGUGCCAGCAGCCGCGGUAAUACGAAGGGGGCUAGCGUUGUUCGGAAUUACUGGGCGUAAAGCGCACGUAGGCGGGUAUUUAAGUCAGGGGUGAAAUCCCAGAGCUCAACUCUGGAACUGCCUUUGAUACUGGGUACCUAGAGUAUGGAAGAGGUAAGUGGAAUUCCGAGUGUAGAGGUGAAAUUCGUAGAUAUACGGAGGAACACCAGUGGCGAAGGCGGCUUACUGGUCCAUUACUGACGCUGAGGUGCGAAAGCGUGGGGAGCAAACAGGAUUAGAUACCCCGGUAGUCC
RNAcentral lists this ribosomal RNA (425 nucleotides) under uncultured bacterium. Its description in RNAcentral is "partial 16S ribosomal RNA". It matches the Rfam family "Bacterial small subunit ribosomal RNA", at positions 354 to 796 of the family's 1533-position model. The record is from RNAcentral.